AGGUGUGUCCCUGUCACUCACCCAGGCCGUGGUACAGGAUGUUCCCCUGUCCCCAGGUGUCCCCAGGUGUCCCUGUCACUCACCCAGGCCGUGGUACAGGACGUUCCCCUGUCCCCAGGUGUCCCCAGGUGUCACUGUCACUCACCCAGGCCGUGGUACAG
Catharus ustulatus (Swainson's thrush) is the source of this 161-nucleotide long non-coding RNA. RefSeq lists it as uncharacterized. NCBI's taxonomy places the organism in Eukaryota, Metazoa, Chordata, Aves, Passeriformes, Turdidae. The record is from RefSeq and is a predicted model, not a curated record. The transcript has 3 exons.